Long non-coding RNA from Melopsittacus undulatus (budgerigar), 618 nucleotides. RefSeq lists it as uncharacterized. The transcript is spliced from 4 exons. The record is from RefSeq and is a predicted model, not a curated record. Lineage: Eukaryota; Metazoa; Chordata; Aves; Psittaciformes; Psittaculidae.
AUGCUGCAGCUUUCUUCAGAUGCAAGUAGCUGGUGGAAACCCUUGAAUCAGUAAGAGGGCAAAGAGAAUUGUGCGAGAACGAUUCAGUGUAUUGAGUUAUUCACAGUCAUUGUGUUUGACUGUGUCCUACUGACAUGGUAUUCUGCUCUGAAAGAUAUUGGAAAUCAUUUUUACUGAUGGAACUGGAAUGAAACAAUGAGUCAAUCACAUGAGACAGCGGAUUCGCUGACACUGAAGUGCCUGUUCUGCUUUCGUCUGUAAUACAUCCUCUGAGGAGGAAAGCAAAGGACAGUUCAUGGAAGGAAAGAAGAGCAUGUGGUCUCCCUGCUGUGUUGCUGUAUCCUUACUGUAUGUGUGAAGCACAGAGAAAUGAAAGAACUCCUAAUAGCUCUUCCUGGAUGAUCAUACAGCACUAGUCAAAAUUCAGUCUAGUGAAAGUGCUUCUCACGAUGCAUAAGGAAGUGUGAUCAUCCCAUCAAAACAUGAGAGGAUGUUACUAAUCUGUAUGAAAAAGGCUGAUGGAGUAUGAUAUCCUGCCAGCUGUGGCUUAGAAUUCUCCCUUCUUUCAUUUGAAUUACGAAGCAGGAAAAAACAUCAUCAGUGCAGGGUAUGGAAACG